This 225-nucleotide ribosomal RNA is filed under the name uncultured bacterium. RNAcentral describes it as "partial 16S ribosomal RNA". It matches the Rfam family "Bacterial small subunit ribosomal RNA", at positions 109 to 334 of the family's 1533-position model. The record is from RNAcentral.
CGUAACGCGUAUGCAACCUACCUUAAUCUGGGGGAUAGCCCGAAGAAAUUCGGAUUAACACCGCAUAACAUCAGGGGAUAGCAUUAUUUUCUGAUCAAAUAUUUAUAGGAUUAAGAUGGGCAUGCGUGUCAUUAGCUAGUUGGCGGGGUAACGGCCCACCAAGGCGACGAUGACUAGGGGAUCUGAGAGGAUGACCCCCCACACUGGUACUGAGACACGGGCCAG